CCUGAUUGACCGAUAGUGAACCAGUACUGUGAAGGAAAGGCGAAAAGAACCCCGGUGAGGGGAGUGAAAUAGAACCUGAAACCUUGUACGUACAAGCAGUGGGAGC
This 106-nucleotide ribosomal RNA is filed under the name Haemophilus influenzae. Its description in RNAcentral is "partial 23S ribosomal RNA". It matches the Rfam family "Bacterial large subunit ribosomal RNA", at positions 475 to 580 of the family's 2925-position model. The record is from RNAcentral. Lineage: Bacteria; Pseudomonadati; Pseudomonadota; Gammaproteobacteria; Pasteurellales; Pasteurellaceae.